AUUCCAGCUCCAAUAGCGUAUAUUAAUGUUGUUGCAGUUAAAAAGCUCGUAGUUGGAUUCCUGGCCUGGGGUAGCCGGUCCGCCUUGCAAAAGGUGCGCACUGAGCGGCCUCGGCCAUCCUUGGGAAGAGCAGUCCUGGCAUUCAGUUGUCGGGGUUGGGAUUCCCGACGUUUACUGUGAAAAAAUCAGAGUGUUCAACGCAGGCUUACGCCUUGAAUACAUUAGCAUGGAAUAAUGAGAUAGGACCUUGGCGGUCUAUUUUGUUGGUUUGCACGCCGAGGUAAUGAUUAAAAGGGACGGUUGGGGUUCUUCGUAUUCAAUUGUCAGAGGUGAAAUUCUUGGAUUUAUGGAGGACGAACUGCUGCGAAAGCGUCGAGCAAGGACGUUCUCAUUG
RNAcentral lists this ribosomal RNA (394 nucleotides) under Pelagophyceae sp. RNAcentral's name for it is "partial small subunit ribosomal RNA". It matches the Rfam family "Eukaryotic small subunit ribosomal RNA", at positions 582 to 975 of the family's 1831-position model. Lineage: Eukaryota; Pelagophyceae. The record is from RNAcentral.